CAGCAGCCACGGUAAUACGAAGGGGGCUAGCGUUGUUCGGAAUUACUGGGCGUAAAGGGCGCGUAGGCGGCCAUUCAAGUUAGAUGUGAAAGCCCUGGGCCCAACCUAGGAAUUGCAUUUGAUACUGUUUGGCUUGAGUUCGGGAGAGGUGAGUGGAAUUCCCAGUGUAGAGGUGAAAUUCGUAGAUAUUGGGAAGAACACCAGUGGCGAAGGCGGCUCACUGGACCGACACUGACGCUGAGGCGCGAAAGCGUGGGGAGCAAACAGGAUUAGAUACCCCCGUAGUCCCUGUCUCUUAUAA
RNAcentral lists this ribosomal RNA (301 nucleotides) under uncultured bacterium. RNAcentral describes it as "partial 16S ribosomal RNA". It matches the Rfam family "Bacterial small subunit ribosomal RNA", at positions 509 to 809 of the family's 1533-position model. The record is from RNAcentral.